RNAcentral lists this ribosomal RNA (385 nucleotides) under Phascolosoma agassizii. Its description in RNAcentral is "partial 16S ribosomal RNA". It matches the Rfam family "Bacterial large subunit ribosomal RNA", at positions 1950 to 2590 of the family's 2925-position model. The record is from RNAcentral. Lineage: Eukaryota; Metazoa; Annelida; Sipuncula; Phascolosomatiformes; Phascolosomatidae.
GCUAAGGUAGCGCAAUCACUUGCCCUUUAAUUGUGGGCUAGUAUGAAUGGCUAGACAAGAGCUUGGCUGUCUCAAAGGGGCUUAUGAAAAUUAACCUUUAGGUGCAGAGGCCUAAAUUUUAGUGAAAGACAAGAAGACCCUAUCGAGCUUUAAUUUUUUCUAUUAUUAUAANUAGUAUAAAUUUUUAUUGGGGCAAUAAAGGAGCAAUUUAAGCCUCCUUAAAUCUAAAGUUAAACUAAUUUAUAAAAGAAACAUUUAUAAUGCUCUUAGGAAAAAGCUACCGUAGGGAUAACAGACUAAUUUCCCUCAAGAGUCCACAUUGACAGGGAAGUUUGGCACCUCGAUGUUGGCUUAAAAAACAGUUAUGAAGCAGCACUCUAACCCA